Long non-coding RNA from Pan troglodytes (chimpanzee), 695 nucleotides. RefSeq lists it as uncharacterized. The transcript is spliced from 3 exons. The record is from RefSeq and is a predicted model, not a curated record. Lineage: Eukaryota; Metazoa; Chordata; Mammalia; Primates; Hominidae.
UACAGAACUCUCUCACUCCAUUUAAACUAUCUUUCUUCUGUUUAAGAAUUCACACGGUUGCUAUAAACAUUGGACUCUGUUCCAGAGUUCUGAUGUAGUUCUGACAAUUGUUGUCAGGUUUUUCAGUGUUUCUGGAGUGGGACAAAACAUUAGAGGGGCUUACUUGACCAUUUCUGCUGACAUCACUCCUAUCAUUGGUUCUUGAUGUAGAAUGGGAAAACAAAAAUAAUAGCAGGAAGAACCUCACCAUCAGCUCAGGGGAACAGAUGGAGUAAAAAUGCUAGUGCAUCCUGUUAUUAGCCGACCUUGAAUCAAGUUAUACACCCAAUCAAUGGAAAAAGAGGAAGAGAACAAAAGAAGCGGAGACUGCUAUAAAAGCCUCUAGGUACACAUCCAGAUGGUCGGUUCCUGACUUAACUGAUGACAUUCCACCACAAAAGAAGUGAAAAUGGCCUGUUCCUGCCUUAACUGAUGACAUUAUCUUGUGAAAUUCCUUCUCCUGGCUCAUCCUUACUCAAAAGCUCCCCUACUGAGCACCUUGUCACCCCCCACUCCUGCCCGCCAGAAAACAACCCCCCUUUGACGUAAUUUUCCUUUACCUACCCAAACUCUAUAAAACGGCCCCACCCCAUCUCCCUUCGCUGACUCUUUUCGGACUCAGCCUGCCUGCACCCAGGUGAAAUAAACAGCCUUGU